CUGGGGUGGCACCUGGCACAACAGUUGCUCCUGGAAGUUUCAGCACAGCAGCUACAACUUCUCCGGGAGCAAGCAGAGUGACUGGCACUGGACCCACUGCAGAGACCACAAUUUUCCUAGGAGGAAGUAGCACCACUGGAGCAGAAAUAAAAUCAGGUGAAGAUUAUGGGGGUUUCAUUAUUUACUGUUGUAUUUUGAUAAAUUUGUUAGAGGAAACAUUUUUUUCAAUGAACUUAUUUUGGAAUAAUUGUAAAUUAUAGAAGG
Molecule: long non-coding RNA, 264 nt
Filed under: Macaca nemestrina (pig-tailed macaque)
Lineage: Eukaryota; Metazoa; Chordata; Mammalia; Primates; Cercopithecidae
Description: lncRNA (ENSMNEG00000045636.1)
Source: RNAcentral